AUUCACGACACCCAAAUAUCCUAUCAAUUAUAUCACAAAAUAAUUUUAGGAAUCAAAGUAUCAAAAUUCAGACUCGCAAACGCAUUUCAGAUUACAAGAUCCUGAAAAUCCAUGCAGUGAAGGAGAGCCGAAAAUCUAGGAUUUCAAUUCAUACCCGAAACCAAAAUGUUUCUUCGCGCGAGUUGCAUUCGGAUUUCUCGUGUGUAGGGUUUUAGCGCGCUCGCAAGCAGGAAACCACCGAACAGAGCGCCCAUCAGCUCCCACCGGAAAAUGUGAAACGUAUAUACGCCUCUGCCCCCUUUCUCCUCAUUCAAUCCUCCCAUCCGUUCGAUCAUUUCCCAAAACAUCGUCGCGCGAAGAAAAGGAGAAGAUUCACCACAUACCCCGACGACCUUCCAUCCCAUCAUCUCUACGAGACCGUUCGAUGUUCUUCAACCUUGGACGCAGUCGAAUCCCUCCCAAGAUAGCCACCUUUCGUUCCGCCGCGAAUGGGCAGAUUCAGUCGCCUAGGGUUUACCCCAAAUUCGCUGUUGCAGAUCCGUCGCCAUUUCCUUUCCUUCUCUGAAUUCCGCCUCGAACAAUGCAGGAAUGGGCAGGUCAUGUCCUUGCUGCGGUCGAUGUCACAUAGACCAAUAUUGCACAGCUACAAUGUCGAUUUUAUCGGAAGACCUUCCAUUUUUCCUUCAACCAGGCGGUGUGUUCAUGCUACAGGAUUUCGCUAUGCUACGGAACGGGACUUGUAUGAAGUUCUCGGUGUACCAAAAGAUGCUAACCGCGAUGAUAUCAAGAAAGCUUUUCAUGCACUUGCAAAGAAGUACCAUCCAGAUGCAAAUAAGAAUAAUCCUGCAGCGAAGAGGAAGUUUCAAGAGAUAAGAGAUGCGUAUGAGACAUUACGUGAUCCCGAAAAGAGAGCACAAUAUGAUAGGGAGUGCUCAAGAGGUGCUGAAAAACAAGAAUAUGCUGCGAAUGAUGCAGAGGGGUUUAAGGAGGCUUAUCAAGACGAUUUCUCUGAUUCAUUCCAUAGAAUUUUCUCUCAGAUCUUUGAACAUGAGAGUGUAACCUCUGCAACUGAUAUACAGGUGGAACUAUCACUCUCUUUUUCUGAAGCUGCAAAAGGAUGCACAAAACAUCUCUCUUUUGAUGCACAUGUUCCCUGCGAUUCUUGUUAUGGAAGAGGCCAUCCAUUUAGUGCCAAGCCAAAAAUAUGUCCAACUUGUAAAGGCAUUGGUAGAGUUACACUUCCUCCAUUCACAUCAACCUGCAGUACUUGUAAAGGAUCAGGCCGAAUUAUUAAGGAAUAUUGUUUAGCAUGCAAAGGAUCUGGGGUGGUUGAAGGUGUCAAGGAGGUUAAUGUUACCAUCCCAGCAGGUGUAGCUUCUGGAGAUACAAUUCGUGUCCCGAAAGCUGGAAAUAGUGGGGGGCGAAGUGUUCAUUCUGGAAAUCUGCAUAUAAAGCUGAAUGUUGCCAAAGAUCCUGUAUUCAUUAGGGAUGGAGCUGAUGUCUAUGUGGAUUCCCCUAUUAGCUUUACACAAGCUCUUCUUGGUGGUAAAGUUGAAGUACCGACCUUGUCCGGAAAGACGCAAAUAAAAAUACCAAAGGGAGUUCAGCACAGACAACAACUGGUACUAAGAGGAAGAGGCCUGCCGAAGCAUAUAGGCCUUAUGGACCAUGGUGAUCAAUAUGUGCGAUUCCGCAUCCACUUCCCCACAUCCGUAAAUGAACGUCAACGGGCUCUGCUAGAAGAAUUUGCUAAGGAAGAAUUUAUUGUUGAAAAUAGCACAUCUGCAGAAGGAAAGUGGUGGCAGCAAAUAAUUGAUCGCUUGACGGACCAGAAGUUUGUGCUUGAAGUCACUUUCUUUAUAUUGAUGCUCCUGUUGCUGAACAGAGGUAUUGGCUAAGAGUCAACAUCUUGGUGACAUGAUGGAUGUAUCUGCUCCAAAUCCCAGCAGAUCGGAAGAGCUGUCACCCACCUUCUUUCCCCCCUUGAAACGAUGUCCACCUUGAGGUGGGCUUUGCAUCAUAUUACUGCAAAGAUGAAUGCUAAUUCCAGACACCUCUUCUUCAAGCGCUGAACAUAAAUGCAUCAGAGGGCACAUGUGUGCAUGGUCUGGGACAAUCAUAGGGUGGUCCCUCCCACCACGUAAGUGUUCUAUACCAAAGAUUGGGACAUCCAACUCAUCACGAGCACAUUGAUGUAGCAUGUUGGUUUUGAUUCUUCUAUCCAUUUCGUAGUACGUAUCCUACCUGAUAAAUAGACCAGCCGGUUUUUUGGGUCAA
RNA transcript from Magnolia sinica, 2277 nucleotides. It is a transcript of the gene named chaperone protein dnaJ 1, mitochondrial, with no coding region annotated. The transcript has 19 exons. Lineage: Eukaryota; Viridiplantae; Streptophyta; Magnoliopsida; Magnoliales; Magnoliaceae. The record is from RefSeq and is a predicted model, not a curated record.